Molecule: unclassified non-coding RNA, 279 nt
Filed under: Hevea brasiliensis (rubber tree)
Lineage: Eukaryota; Viridiplantae; Streptophyta; Magnoliopsida; Malpighiales; Euphorbiaceae
Source: RNAcentral
GUGCUGUUACAACCAAUCCUCUUUUCUCUAGGCUUUUAUAUUGAUCACUUAGAAGGGUGCAGAAACCGUUUAUAUGAUUGAAAUACAAAGGACAUGAGCAACAAUCUUCAGUUUCUAACUUUUAAUAAACAGAAUCUGAAGAAACUUAAUGGAUAACUUUUGAAAAGAAAAAAAGAUUCCUGCUGCACCUUCAGCUUGCAGAGAGAACCAGUAAUUUCUUCAGAUAAUAGUAGUUGCGGAGGAGCAGGCUCAAAUAAUGGUAAGAACACUUUCUUCACU